RNAcentral lists this ribosomal RNA (429 nucleotides) under Gemmatimonadota bacterium. RNAcentral describes it as "Gemmatimonadetes bacterium partial 16S ribosomal RNA". It matches the Rfam family "Bacterial small subunit ribosomal RNA", at positions 355 to 776 of the family's 1533-position model. The record is from RNAcentral. Lineage: Bacteria; Pseudomonadati; Gemmatimonadota.
UAGGGAAUCUUCGGCAAUGGACGAAAGUCUGACCGAGCAACGCCGCGUGAGUGAAGAAGGUUUUCGGAUCGUAAAACUCUGUUGUUAGAGAAGAACAAGGACGUUAGUAACUGAACGUCCCCUGACGGUAUCUAACCAGAAAGCCACGGCUAACUACGUGCCAGCAGCCGCGGUAAUACGUAGGUGGCAAGCGUUGUCCGGAUUUAUUGGGCGUAAAGCGAGCGCAGGCGGUUUCUUAAGUCUGAUGUGAAAGCCCCCGGCUCAACCGGGGAGGGUCAUUGGAAACUGGGGGACUUGAGUGCAGAGGAGGAGAGUGGAAUUCCAUGUGUAGCGGUGAAAUGCGUAGAUAUAUGGAGGAACACCAGUGGCGAAGGCGGCUCUCUGGUCUGUAACUGACGCUGAGGCUCGAAAGCGUGGGGAGCAAACAGG